RNAcentral lists this ribosomal RNA (468 nucleotides) under uncultured bacterium. Its description in RNAcentral is "partial 16S ribosomal RNA". It matches the Rfam family "Bacterial small subunit ribosomal RNA", at positions 28 to 507 of the family's 1533-position model. The record is from RNAcentral.
GACGAACGCUGGCGGCGUGCUUAACACAUGCAAGUCGAACGGAAAGGCCCUGCUUUUGUGGGGUGCUCGAGUGGCGAACGGGUGAGUAACACGUGAGUAACCUGCCCUUGACUUUGGGAUAACUUCAGGAAACUGGGGCUAAUACCGGAUAGGAGCUCCUGCUGCAUGGUGGGGGUUGGAAAGUUUCGGCGGUUGGGGAUGGACUCGCGGCUUAUCAGCUUGUUGGUGGGGUAGUGGCUUACCAAGGCUUUGACGGGUAGCCGGCCUGAGAGGGUGACCGGCCCCCUUGGGGCCGGGGUACCGCCCAGAACCCUACGGGGGGCAGCCGUGGGGAAUAUUGCACCAUGGGCGGAAGCCUGAUGCAGCAACGCCGCGUGCGGGAUGACGGCCUUCGGGUUGUAAACCGCUUUCGCCUGUGACGAAGCGUGAGUGACGGUAAUGGGUAAAGAAGCACCGGCUAACUACGUG